AUGGGGAGCGGUGCUCACCGUGGGGUGGCAGAGGGGGGCUUGGGGCAGAGGGGGAGGUGGUGCCCCGCUUCGGUGGUGACCAGCGGCGGCAGAUGCGCAGGAGGGAACCGGCGGCGGACGGCCCGGUGGGGGAUGGCUAUGGCAGGGGAGGACGGCCCGGUGGCGGUCGCGCCAUUGGAGGAGGACGGGUGGGGGGCGCAGUGGACAACGGUCCCGACGGCGGCGCGGUGGAGGCGGGGACCAGCUGCGGCGGCGCGGUGGAGGUGGAGAAAGGCGGCGGCGGCGCGGUGGAGCCGGGGACGGGCGGUGGCGGCGGCGCGGUGCUGCCGGGGACGAGCGGGGAUACCUAGCGCGCGCGUCGCAUCUAAGCCGCAGCAGCCACGCCGCGUCGCCGCCAAGAUGCUAGCCCGCCGUGCCGCCAGACCCCGCGCUAGCCCGAUGCCUCUUCGCAAUCUGGUCGUCCCCCGCCGCCCAAGACGCUCCAAGGGGGAGAGCUACCCCGCCGCCGUCCAGUCGGCCAACCUUUGCCCGCGAAGAUGCGGACGGCGGCGAGAAGAAGUGGAGACGGAGGAGGGCCGAGAGGACGGCGACUAUGGUUCCCCCUUGGUCGCCCGUGGUGGCGACACGAGGGGGACGAGGAAAAACUCCCCCAAGUUUCUCUCGUUUCUAACUACUGCACCCUCGGAGCACCAAAAAUGCUACAUUUACGGGCCUGCUACAAAAGCUCCCUUUCCUACUCCUGCACGCAAGCGGUCCCCUUUCUCCCACGCCACCGCUCGCGCUCGGCCGCUGCCGCCGCCUCUCCCAUCCCAGAUCCUUCUGCUCCGGGCGCCCCAGGUCCCCUUUCUAUUUCUCGUUGAUCUGCGGCAACUCCUUUCUCGGCUACUUCUUCAAGCGAUGACCACAACAAGGCAUGGCUGCAGGCGACGAAGGAGGGAGCGUCCGGACGUGGUAGCCGCAGGAGGAAGGGAUGGGGGAGAGAUACAACCCCAGUGGUCAUCCAGAUCCGGAAUGUAUAUUAGAUCUCCGAGGUUGAACUUGCAAAAGAUGCCGCUGAAUGAGUGGCACUUGUUUGAACACUGGCCAGAACCCAGCAUGGUCAAGAAAAGCUUCUUUGGCCCGUCUGACCAGUGCAUCUUUAUCUUCAUCCGUUUUCAUCGAUAUUCUACUCAAGCGAUUCUGGAGUUUCAAAGCAGCCCUAUAAUGCAGAUCAUUUUAGAUGGAUAUAGAACGACAGAUGUAACCACCCCAAGGAUGAUUAGUCGCAGCUCAUCUUCUAUCAUGAGUUUCUUAUUUGCAGGUGAUGAUCUUGCUGCAACUUGCUUGCUGCCUUGGUUUACAGGUUGGCAACCAAUAACCGGAGCACAGCUGUCAACUUAUUUUAUUCAUUGGCCAGACUACGAAGCAUGGAAAGAACAGCCAGAAGAAAAUAUCCAACCCAAGCGCCCGUCCUUCGCCGCCGCAGCCACGACGUCACGGCCUGCUCCUCGUGGUGGCCGCGCCGGUGCUCUGCGUCCGUCGUCGGCCGGCGCGCCCACUGCGUCCGCGCUCCUCCGCCCCGACGCCGACUAUCUCAACCCUCUCUCCAACCCUAACCCUCUCCCUCCCUCAGAUCUCAAUACGCCGCCGCCCCUAUCCCUACCCCCGCGUAGCCCAACCCAAUCCGCCGCCGUCCUCUACCCAGACCCCUCCCCGCUUCGGCGAGCCCGCCAUGAACCGUGUGCGGGCGGCAGCGCAGCGGGAGCAGCACGGGCUUCACCUCCCCGGGCCGUGUCUCCCCUCCUCCUCCACCUCCUUCGCGGCCUCCCUCCCGGGCACCGCCCAACAGCAGUCUCGACAGGGACGACCUGGACCCGGACCCGGUCGCGGCUACCACGGAGGACCUCGCAACGGUCGACCUCUCCGAAGACCCGGAUGCCACCGCCACCGCCAAGUCCGGCUCCAGCAAGCCCCGUCAGGCAGCCAGAGGCGGCGGCUGCGACGUGGCCCCGUCGUCAACGUCAACCCACAAACUACAACGUCGCCGUCAACGUCCUCAACAGCCUCGACGAGCCGCUCCUCAUCACCUGGGACGGCAUCCAGCAGUGGAAGAACUGCUGGCAGGACGGCAUGCUGGGCUCCAACUGUGGCGUCGGAUGCUGGCAGGUGUUGAAGGGCUUGGUGGCAAUUCUCACGGAGUAA
Molecule: ribosomal RNA, 2181 nt
Filed under: Triticum aestivum (bread wheat)
Lineage: Eukaryota; Viridiplantae; Streptophyta; Magnoliopsida; Poales; Poaceae
Description: partial small subunit ribosomal RNA
Source: RNAcentral